This 1998-nucleotide ribosomal RNA is filed under the name Triticum aestivum (bread wheat). RNAcentral describes it as "partial small subunit ribosomal RNA". The record is from RNAcentral. Lineage: Eukaryota; Viridiplantae; Streptophyta; Magnoliopsida; Poales; Poaceae.
AUGUGCCACCAGCUGCUGCUUAUUCUCCUUCUCUCGGCUACCACCUCCCAUGGCGAUUCAUCUGAUGACACCUACUAUGACACCUCCAUGUGCCUCAAUCAACCUUCCACCUGCGGGAACGUGAGUAUCAGCUACCCGUUCUAUCUCUCGAGAGAGACAAAAGAUCUCAAGGGCAACGCCGAUUCGUACUGCGGAUAUCCUGGCCUGGGAAUCCUCUGCGACGACGACAAGCCCGUCCUGCAGCUUAACGGCACUGCCAACUACACGGUGAAGAGCAUCGAGCGCGCGCUUGCAUGGGUCUCUCUAGCCGACGACGGCAGCCCCUGCCCGAGGCCAAGGGUCGACCGCAACGUGACUUUGCAACAGGGAUCAUGGCUCUACUUUUCUGACCGCACGGUGGAAUACAUCGUCUUCUUCAUCAACUGCAACUUCAACUCUAGUACCUUCUACCAACCGAUUAACAUCAACCCGAUCAGCUGCCGAAGCUUUGACGCUGGUCCUGGAUCCUCGUUCGUACUUCCCGAUGAUGGAGUACCCUCCGGCGACUGGCCGCAAGCGUGCAACCAAGUAAUACAAUUGCCUGUGCACAAAGAGCCGAUCAACUAUGCUGAUCCUGGAUGGACAAACACUGGAUAUGCCAAACUUCUUCGUCAGCAAUUCCAGUUGGGAUGGAACGACAGCGGAAAGCCACAGGCAUGUAUCAAGUGCGAGGGAUCCAAGGGAGGCUGCGGUCACAACCCCACUGGGGAUUUCAUCGGCUGCUUGUGCCAGGACGGCCGAAUACACUCGGCUUAUUGUGAUAGCACCGAAGAUGCGUCUCGCUCGAAGCACAAAUUAUUAGUAGCCGUGCUCACGUCUGUUGGUUGCAUCAUGUUCCUACUGUCUCUCUGCAUGGCGGUUUGCAUCCUGUUCUGCCGCCGCCGAAGGCAGAAUACCAUGAAGAAAACCAAACGAACGCUGAAAGCGGUGACAACACUCUUUCGUGGUGAACUUGUCGACCAGGAGCUUGACCUAGGGGUCGCCGGGCCCCGGCGAUUUUCAUACAACGAGCUUGCUGCUGUGACCGAUAAUUUCUCUGACGACAGAGCGCUCGGGAGAGGAGGCUUUGGGUCUGUGUACCGUGGGUUUAUGAGCGACAUGAACCGUGAAGUAGCUAUCAAGAGGGUGUCUGAGACCUCUCGACAGGGCUGGAAGGAGUUUGUGUCCGAGGUACGAAUCAUUAGUCGUCUGAGGCACCGGAACCUUGUGCAGCUCAUCGGCUGGUGCCACGGCGGUGACCAGCUCCUCCUGGUCUACGACCUGAUGCACAAUGGCAGCCUCGACACUCAUUUGUACGGGUCCGACUUCAUGCUCACAUGGGCCAUUAGGUAUGAGAUAGUGCUUGGAGUAGGUUCGGCACUUCUAUACUUGCAUCAAGACAUGGAGCAGCGGGUGGUGCACAGGGACAUCAAGCCGAGCAACAUCAUGCUAGAUUCAUCCUUCACUGCCAAGCUAGGCGAUUUUGGGCUUGCAAGGCUCAUCAGCGAUGGUAGGAGAUCGCACACGACCGGAAUAGCCGGCACGAUGGGGUACAUAGACCCGGAGAGCGUGCUGGCGGGCAGGGCGAGUGUUGAGUCGGACGUGUAUAGCUUCGGGGUUGUCCUCCUCGAGGUCGCCUCAGGGAAGCGGCCAGCUCAAGUCCAGGAAGACGGCGAUGUCAUCCACCUGGUUCAAUGGGUGUGGGACUUGUAUGGUACAGGAUCAAUACUUGAUGCCGCUGACGAACGACUUAGGGGGGAGUUCACCGGUGGGGAGAUGGAGCGUGUAAUGGUCGUGGGGCUCUGGUGUGGGCACCCUGACCGUGGCAUGCGGCCAUCCAUCAGGCAAGCGAUGAACGUGCUUCGGUUUGAAGCGCCAUUGCCCAGCCUCCCAGCUAGGAUGCCGGUGGCGACCUAUGGGCCACCGACUAAUACUCUGAGUUCUGGAACGUUGGUCCUGAGCAGUGUUAGUGGCCGAUGA